UCCUAGGUGGCUCAGUGGUAUAGAAUUUGCCUGCAAUGCAAGAGACGCAGGUUUGAUCCCUGGAUCAGGAA
RNAcentral lists this transfer RNA (71 nucleotides) under Ovis aries (sheep). It matches the Rfam family "tRNA". From Rfam's summary of the family: Transfer RNA (tRNA) molecules are approximately 80 nucleotides in length. Their secondary structure includes four short double-helical elements and three loops (D, anti-codon, and T loops). Lineage: Eukaryota; Metazoa; Chordata; Mammalia; Artiodactyla; Bovidae. The record is from Rfam by way of RNAcentral.